UCCUCGUUAACCGAGGCAGUCUCGUAUGAAAAAUCCAACAUACGACAGGGGUUGCGCUCGUUGCGGGACUUAACCCAACAUCUCACGACACGAGCUGACGACGACCAUGCAGCACCUGUCACCGGGCUCCUUGCGGCACCCCCCUGUUUCCAGGGGGUUCCCGGGAUGUCAAGCCCUGGUAAGGUUCUUCGCUUAGUAUCGAAUUAAACCCCACGCUCCACUGCUUGUGCGGGUCCCCGUCAAUUCCUUUGAGUUUUAGCCUUGCGGCCGUACUCCCCAGGCGGGGUACUUAACGCGUUAGCUUCGAUACCCAGGGGGUCUAUGCCCCGAAUACCUAGUACCCAUCGUUUACGGCGUGGACUAC
RNAcentral lists this unclassified non-coding RNA (364 nucleotides) under uncultured bacterium. RNAcentral's name for it is "contains 16S-23S intergenic spacer region". The record is from RNAcentral.